AUAACCAAAAAAAUAUAUGGCAAAGUCUUUAGCUUCCUUGUGUUGUAUUCUUUUUUAUGUUUCCCUCAUCCUUGUUGAUGAAAAUGUUGGGAGAGUGGAAGGGAAAAUUUGUUACAAAGAGGUGCAUGAGGUAAUUUGCAAAAAUGAUGAUCCAGAACAAGAUUGCUUGCCUACAUGUAGACAUUUAUUUGGAGGUGGAAAUAGAGCAACUUGUGCACCUCAAUUUAAUGGACCUAGCAUUUGUGCUUGUGUAUAUAAAUGUUGAACAAAUAUUUACUAAUUAAAUAUUCCUAUUUUGGUCCUUUA
Molecule: long non-coding RNA, 306 nt
Organism: Solanum pennellii
Lineage: Eukaryota; Viridiplantae; Streptophyta; Magnoliopsida; Solanales; Solanaceae
Exons: 2
Source: RefSeq, a predicted model, not a curated record